This 492-nucleotide ribosomal RNA is filed under the name uncultured bacterium. RNAcentral's name for it is "partial 16S ribosomal RNA". It matches the Rfam family "Bacterial small subunit ribosomal RNA", at positions 29 to 507 of the family's 1533-position model. The record is from RNAcentral.
AGUGAACGCUGGCGGUAGGCCUAACACAUGCAAGUCGAACGGCAGCACAGUAAGAGCUUGCUCUUACGGGUGGCGAGUGGCGGACGGGUGAGGAAUACAUCGGAAUCUACUUUUUCGUGGGGGAUAACGUAGGGAAACUUACGCUAAUACCGCAUACGACCUACGGGUGAAAGCAGGGGAUCUUCGGAUCUUGCGCGAUUGAAUGAGCCGAUGUCGGAUUAGCUAGUUGGCGGGGUAAAGGCCCACCAAGGCGAAGAUCCGUAGCUGGUCUGAGAGGAUGAUCAGCCACACUGGAACUGAGACACGGUCCAGACUCCUACGGGAGGCAGCAGUGAGGAAUAUUGGACAAUGGGCGCAAGCCUGAUCCAGCCAUACCGCGUGGGUGAAGAAGGCCUUCGGGUUGUAAAGCCCUUUUGUUGGGAAAGAAAAGCAGCAGGUUAAUACCCCGCUGUUCUGACGGUACCCAAAGAAUAAGCACCGGCUAACUUCGUG